This 301-nucleotide ribosomal RNA is filed under the name uncultured bacterium. RNAcentral describes it as "partial 16S ribosomal RNA". It matches the Rfam family "Bacterial small subunit ribosomal RNA", at positions 509 to 809 of the family's 1533-position model. The record is from RNAcentral.
CAGCAGCCGCGGUAACACGUAGGGUGCAAGCGUUAAUCGGAAUUACUGGGCGUAAAGCGUGCGCAGGCGGUUUUGUAAGACAGAGGUGAAAUCCCCGGGCUCAACCUGGGAACUGCCUUUGUGACUGCAAGGCUAGAGUACGGCAGAGGGGGAUGGAAUUCCGCGUGUAGCAGUGAAAUGCGUAGAUAUGCGGAGGAACACCGAUGGCGAAGGCAAUCCCCUGGGCCUGUACUGACGCUCAUGCACGAAAGCGUGGGGAGCAAACAGGAUUAGAUACCCGAGUAGUCCCUGUCUCUUAUAA